This 64-nucleotide transfer RNA is filed under the name Girardia tigrina. RNAcentral describes it as "tRNA-His". RNAcentral also lists the same sequence under 1 other name. The record is from RNAcentral. Lineage: Eukaryota; Metazoa; Platyhelminthes; Tricladida; Dugesiidae.
UUCUUGGUAGUUUACUGUAGAAUUGUAGUUUGUGGUACUAUAGGAAGUUUUAUUCUCUAGGAUG